RNAcentral lists this long non-coding RNA (6458 nucleotides) under Citrus maxima (pomelo). RNAcentral's name for it is "long non-coding RNA (CMAX_LNC003665)". The record is from RNAcentral. Lineage: Eukaryota; Viridiplantae; Streptophyta; Magnoliopsida; Sapindales; Rutaceae.
AAUCAUCUUUUCUGGUUAAGUGAUUUCGUCAGCAAAUAAGAGAAAAUAGAAAUUCUGGAAUAUACCUAGGGUUUCUAGAUUUGGGAAUUUACCUAAUGAGAAAUCAGUCUCUCUGUUUCGAGAUUUGUAACUAUCAUGGCCGAGCGACCACGAUCACCUGAGAUAAUCGGAUUUUGCACCGGCGACGAUGCAAAUGUUUGGGUUUGACGAUAGACGAAGGAAUGUUAGGGCUUUGGGUGAUUUAAGGAUUUUAUUUAAUUCAAGUAAAGUGAAAAUAACUAAAGUAUCCCUAAGUUGGUUACGCAUUUUGAUGUCCAGAAUAGUUAAUUAAAUUUCUACUCGUGUAUUUAUGGUAUGCAUGAGUUACUUUCUCAACCGUUAGUGUGGAGACAAACGAAAGCAGGAUAAAGUUCGACGCAAAAUUUUAUUAGCAUACAAACGUAAGUACACUAUUGAAUAUGAAUAUGCCUUAAACAACCGCCUUUUUUCCGGGGAUAAUCACAUUAUAUAUAAAAUAAUACAACAAAAGAAUAGAAGUACAAGUAGAAAGGCAGUAUCUAGGUUGUCUCUGCUACUCGGCUUCCAGUUCCACCCAAAAAACUGCUCAAACAUCUUCGUUCAGGUAACCAAUCGCAGACUCUGUUAUUGCUUUAACUAAUUUAUCACAUUACCAUAAUUUCCAGAACACCUUGCGCUUGUUCAAUGGGUUGUUCAACUUGAGGAGGAGCCAGCAGAUGUGCGUUGACAGAGGUGACAAUGACGACAGUGAGACGUCGAAGCCAGUAGAAGAAGUGCUGAAACAGGGAAGCUAACAUUGCAUAACAGAGUGAUAAGAUUAUGAGGCACAAAUAGGCUACCAAGAACAGAGACGGAGCCAAAAUGACAGAGGCGACUGCUGAGACAGCCAAUAGAACAGAGAGUUCUCCACAACUCACGGAAAUGGGUCGGCUCACUUUGAGAGGGACUCUGAUGGGUGUGAGGAGGAAGAGCAGUAAUGGGAUGACGACGGCGGGAAUCAGGAACCAGAACUGAAGCUUUAAAAUUGGAUACAAAAGUAUCUUACUCGUACCAUCUUGGACGUCCCAAGAGUUGCCAUCCUGAGACUUGAGGAACAGAAAAAAGAUUAUAAGAUUCAGCAAUGGAAGAACUAGAAACCUCAAAUCGAUUGAAAAAUUCAUGCUUGUGAGUAUAAGACUUGGCCGAGAUGAUUGAGCUUAAUUAUUAUGAAUAAGAUUUGGCAAUUUAUAGGGUGUUGAAUGAAGCUGCUGGUGUUGAAUGGCGGGGUUGAAUGAAUAUGAUGGUGUUGAAGCUGCAACGCAAGCUAAGCUAUAUACAUAAGCGUCUCGGAAUAAAAUGUUUACGCGUCCAUGCAUAUUUGACGAAGAUUUGGUGAGUGUUGUCUCGGAAUAAAAUGCUUUCAUGUAAAAGUUUUGAAGAAGUUUUGAUUACUUUCAUGUAAAAGUUUAAAGAAGUUUUGAUUACUUUGUGUUCUUCAAACUUUUACAUGAAUGUGAACUUUUAAAUAUGAAGAACUUUUAAAUAUUUAAAACUUUUAAAUAUCGGAAUAAAAUGUAUUAAAACUUUUAAAAGUUUUGAUAUUUAAAAGUACUCUCAUCAUAUUUAAAACUUUUACAUGAAUGAGAGUACUUUUAAAUAUUAUGUAAAAUUUUUACAUUCAUGUAAAAGUUUUAAAUAUGAUGAGAGUACUUUUAAAUAUCAAAACUUUUACAUGAAUGAGAGUACUUUUAAAUAUUAUGUAAAACUUUUACAUUCAUGUAAAAGUUUUAAAUAUGAUGAUCUUAUUUCAGAGGCUGAACUGAAAAUAUGGCAGAGAUACGUGAUGAAUGAAGUGAACCACGCAUCUUCAUAACACAGCACAACACAACAACACUUGUUACUUUACUUCUAUCACUCACACUCACUCGCAUACUGCGUACACACAACACAAUACAAUUACAUAUAUAAAUGAAUAAACAAACCAAAAUCUUGGUUUCUUCACUCCUAUCACUCACACUUGUUACUUUACACAAACUCUUGGUUUCAGUUGGGCGCUGGAGAUGAGUGAUGAGAGAUAGAGCAUAGGGUUUCGAGCGACCGGGUAAAAGCACCGGCUAUAUCCGGUAAUAAUUGAACUAGAACUGUGCUGCUGAUAUUUCUGACAGGUUUUGGGGGCUUUUGUCCUUUUCUCUUUUAUAUAUAUAUAUAUAUAUAUAUGAUUUUGGGGGCUUAUUUAAUUAUUUUAAUCAAUUAAUUGGAGUAAAAUGGUGUUAUUAUGUGAGAAGGGGAUGUGAUGACGCACGUGAGCUAGUAGAACAGGCAAACAGAGUGUGAUGAAAGAAAGGCUGAUGACUGAUUGAGUUUUGCCGUUCUCAACACUCAUCCUUCCCACUUUUGAUUCUCGGUUUACAAUUCAAAAUUUUAUCUAAUAUUUACAACACUCAUCCUUCCCACUAAUCUUUAAUAUAUAUAAAAAAAAAAUUGACAUUAUAUCCCCUAAAAUGUGUAUAUUAUCCAGCUGCUUAAAACUUCAAAAACAAAAAAAUAAAAUAAAAUAAAACAUAACCUUCUCAAGUCAACUCUACUAUGACCAUUGGUUAAUACGACAUUUGGGGUCUCCAGGACCCUAUUACUACAACACUAACAGAUAUAAGUGCAUCCUACUAAAGUAGCUUAGUCAUUCUAAAUACAUGUAUUAAAAAGCAUAAUAUCUACAAAAAGGUAGCUUCCUAAGUUUACUAGGCCAGCGAUGCCAAAGCACAACCAGAACAGUAACAAAAAUAGACGAAAACGGUUCUUCAUUACAAAACACAACUUUCAAAAGAUGUAAUCUCCAUGUCAAACCCCAAAUCAAAAUCAAUCCUCCACUGACCACAAUACUUUUCACCAUCAUUGCCCAAACCUGAAGAGUAAGGGGUGAGCUAACGCACAGUAUGUAAUUACACACAACAAAGGAAUUUUUUUUUUUUUUUUAACACCCAAAUACUUCGGACAACUUCGGUACAUUUCUAACAUAAACCAUUUAUAUGUAUAUAAAUAUAUAUAUAAAAAAUAUUUAUUUCUUAAACUUUUUAAGUUUGAAAGUUGGUAUUCAACAGAAAUGUCAUAGGACAAGAUCAUAACAACAUACACACAUACAAAUAUAGUGGCACUCAUGCUUUCCGUAGUUACGUCUAAAGAAAUCCUAAAAUUACCCUUUCAAUAAUACAAAAUAAAAACAUGCCUGACACCAUAUCAUUGCAGGAUACAUAAACACAAUUCAGCUACACUUCCUAUUCCAAACUUGGCUAUAUCACCAUUAAAGUUUAAUUCUCAUUCAUGAAUGUAUCAACCAAAUUAACUAUGAUAACUGAUUCAAGUAAUAACAAUACACGGUCUUCAAUUAAAACUCGCAAUCCUGUUGAUAAUUCUAACGCAUCAAUUGUUUAUUUUAGCCACACAGUCAUGUAAUUAAAUGGCUACCCAUACACCCACUGCAUUAAUUAUUAAAGGAAGCAAUUAAGCCAUUAGCACAUUAAAUCUCAGCAAAACAACUUAUAAGGACCCAAAAAAAAAAUACAUGAUCAAGCAAGAAAAACAACCUGAUUUUUCAGUUUUGAGUAACAAAAGCACUCAAUUGCAUAUAAACACCUACUUUAAUCCUGCAACAACAGCUCCUAGUUCUCCAAAGACUUCUCUUCUUCUCUAACUCCGCUUCCUAUUGGUAAUACAAAAAUUAAUCAACCAUACUGCCAAUAAUUUAAGAAUCCCAAAUUUAACAUAAUCCUAAACUUGCUGUGAGUUGCAGCAGCAGAAAGGAAACAAUUAAGAAAAGUAAGUGAAAAAAAAAAAAACAUUAAUAAAAGUAACAAGAUUUGAAAAUUGAACCAUGCAUGCACAGAAAUUUACCCAAACCAGGUCUAAAGGAUUAGAGUUAUGAGAAAAUCCAGCCAAACUCAUGUUGGUUUCCCAGAAAUUUCAUACUUGCUGUUGUUCUCAGCUCCCUUAAAUGCACAACUAUUCUCUCUGAAACCCAAUUGCUCCCUUUCCCUCCUUUUCUUUAUCUUCGUCUUCUCUCUCUUUUUUUUUUAUUAUUUUUUUUUUUCAUUCUCUCUCUGUUAUUCCGAGGUAUCCGCCUUAUUGAGUAGAAUGCCUUCCGCUGUGGGUUAUCAACUGACCUUUAGUACCAAAAUGGGUUCUUCACAAAAAGAAUUACUUUCUCCCUCUUUUUUAUUUUUAUUUUUUUUAUUAUUAUUACCCGAACGUUGAUUUUGUUUGUUACAGAACAUAACCAAAGAAUAAAGACACCUUAUAAAUUGGUUGUGGGCUGGGCUUAGUUAUAGAUUAAAAAAAAAACAACAGGGGAAGCUUAGAGCAAUUAAAACAACGACAAUAAUAAUAAAAUAACAUAUAUAAUUAUAAAUAAAUAGAUAAAUUCAACCUAGGAUAAAUUUGGGGAGUUACUGCUGUAUUAUAACCAACAGACAAGAAUAAAAUAAAAAACAGAGUUAAAAAAGCUGAUAUAAUGAACCUUGCGGUCAAACGUUAGAUCUGACUUCUUCGAACGAACUAAAAGCCAACAAUGAAAAUUUCACAUAAAAGCAACCAGUAUACCUGCAAAAUAGUUAAAUUAAAAGUUUUCUGACUCGUUCAGCGGAGAUGCCAACAGUUUCCAAAAUUUUUUGUUGGACCUCGCAUUUAUAAAUUCUCAAAACUUCCUCCACCAAUCUGAAAACAUCACAGAAAACGAGCAACACCACAAUUAACUGUCUUUAAGUUGUAAAAAAGCUUCAAGCUUUGCACAUGUGAGGAUAUAGUGAGAAACCAAUCAUAGAACAUGUCACGAGCAAGGGCACAAGCAGAGGAAAGAUCUUGAAUGCCUCAGUGUGAUGAUAAUCAUCAUGAAACAAUAUCAACAGAUGUGAUUUAGGGAUACAUCUCAUAUAACAACCUUCAAAUGAUAUUAAUAUACAGCGAUAGAUCGAUAUAAAAUAAAUAACUUCAUAAAGAAAGGGUUUACAAUAGGGGGAAUGAAAAGAAUAUUGAGGUUAAAGGCUGAGCUCUGGUUACCGUUCUUUCAUUUGUAUGUAAAGCCUCUCAAAUUCUUUAGUCACAUCGUAAUAGAUUCUCCUAUAUGCAUAAUGAAUAAUGAUGUCAAAAGAAACCCCUGAACUUAGAAUUACUUCCACCUCUUUAUCUUCUUAGUUAUAAUAAGGCAUGAGUGAGCUUUUGGUAUAUUUAAUGAGAUAUAGAAAGGUAUUUACCCCCCUGUUAUCUCGCAACUCCAAAACCUGGUAAGUCUCUGGCCAAACCUGAAUUUAGAUGAAUGGACUUCAAACGAAAGGAUUUUCUUACAAAAGCUAAAAAAAUAUAACGGCAUGGUGAGAAUGGGAAAAUGAAAAUAGAAAGCAAAAGAAAAAGUUUCCAUCCGAUAAGACAAGUACAAAAUAAUCCAAGUUCUUAUUUGCCAUGCCAAUAUUAUUCAUGAAGAACUAAUCUGAUUUCUUUUCCAGAUAAGGUUAGUAACAAUUAAUCUGCAAAAUAACUGAACCAACUUGGUUAUUUUGACAUUACUCUUUCUCUUCUACGCUCAUUUUCUGCAUGGUUGCGGUUCAUCAACGGCCACGUUCACCAAAACGAGUCCACUCUCCCCACUUCACUUAUUUCCCCACCGUUAUGUCUCUCAAAGUGCAGCAGCAAGACAUGAACUCCUAUCAUUAUGAGCAAUAUAAAAAGCCCUCCUAAAAAUCCACCACCUGUUUGGCCAGAGAAACUCCAUUACUCAUUUCCACUCUCUCAAUUUUCAGCCCUUUCAUCAAAACACAAGCAUUACUUACCCAUGUUUAGACAUUAUUUAUUUUUCUGAUAUCACAUCAUUCGCCGGGGCGGGGGGGGACAAUUAACUGAUUUCAGCACAUAAAUUACAACAAGCUGGUCAAUUCACGUAAAUAAGGAAAAUUAACUCAAUCAAGUGAAGUAGGCACAAAAUGACCUCAAUGAGAUAUCAGAGACCUCUAAAAUCAAAUCAAAUUCAGUUAAACAAAGAAUCACUCAUGAAAGAUAAGCAAAAGAAAAAAAGCAAUGAAUAACAGAAAGAAAUUUCUUAUAAAAAUUCAAUAAAAUUAAAAAAAUUAGCUAAUCAUCUUUUCUGGUUAAGUGAUUUCGUCAGCAAAUAAGAGAAAAUAGAAAUUCUGGAAUAUACCUAGGGUUUCUAGCUUUGGGAAUUUACCUAAUGAGAAAUCAGUCUCUCUGUUUCUAGAUUUGUAACUAUCAUGGCCGAGCGACCACGAUCAGCUGAGAUAAUUGGAUUUUGCACCGGCGACGAUGCAAAUGUUUGGGGUUGGGUUUGGGUUUGGGUUUGACGAUAGACGAAGGAAUGUUAGGGCUUUGGGUGAUUUAAGGAUUUUAUUUAAUUCAAGUAAAGUGAAAAUAACUAAAGUAUCCCUAAGUUGGUUACGCAUUUUGAUGUCCAGAAUAGUUAA